Molecule: ribosomal RNA, 432 nt
Filed under: uncultured bacterium
Lineage: Bacteria
Description: bacterial SSU rRNA
Rfam family: Bacterial small subunit ribosomal RNA
Source: RNAcentral
AAUGAACGCUGGCGGCAGGCCUAACACAUGCAAGUCGAGCGAGGACUUCGGUCCUAGCGGCGGACGGGUGAGUAACGCGUGGGAAUAUGCCCUUUGGUACGGAAUAGCCUCGGGAAACUGGGAGUAAUACCGUAUGUGCCCUUCGGGGGAAGAUUUAUCGCCAAAGGAUUAGCCCGCGUUGGAUUAGGUAGUUGGUGGGGUAAUGGCCUACCAAGCCGACGAUCCAUAGCUGGUUUGAGAGGAUGAUCAGCCACACUGGGACUGAGACACGGCCCAGACUCCUACGGGAGGCAGCAGUGGGGAAUCUUAGACAAUGGGCGCAAGCCUGAUCUAGCCAUGCCGCGUGAUCGAUGAAGGCCUUAGGGUUGUAAAGAUCUUUCAGAUGGGAAGAUAAUGACUGUACCAUCAGAAGAAGCCCCGGCUAACUCCGUG